This 189-nucleotide ribosomal RNA is filed under the name uncultured Polaribacter sp. RNAcentral's name for it is "partial 16S ribosomal RNA". It matches the Rfam family "Bacterial small subunit ribosomal RNA", at positions 338 to 524 of the family's 1533-position model. The record is from RNAcentral. Lineage: Bacteria; Pseudomonadati; Bacteroidota; Flavobacteriia; Flavobacteriales; Flavobacteriaceae.
CCUACGGGAGGCAGCAGUGAGGAAUAUUGGACAAUGGAGGAGACUCUGAUCCAGCCAUGCCGCGUGUAGGAAGAAUGCCCCAUGGGUUGUAAACUACUUUUAUACAGGAAGAAACACUGGUAUGUAUACCAGCUUGACGGUACUGUAAGAAUAAGGACCGGCUAACUCCGUGCCAGCAGCCGCGGUAAU